UACGUAGGCGGCGCUGUCAGUCGGGUGUGAAAUCCCUCGGCUCAACCGAGGAAUUGCGCCCGAUACUGCAGUGCUUGAGGGAGACAGAGGUAAGCGGAACUGAUGGUGGAGCGGUGAAAUGCGUUGAUAUCAUCAGGAACACCAGUGGCGAAAGCGGCUUACUGGGUCUCUUCUGACGCUGAGGUACGAAAGCUAGGGGAGCGAAGG
This 207-nucleotide ribosomal RNA is filed under the name uncultured bacterium. RNAcentral's name for it is "partial 16S ribosomal RNA". It matches the Rfam family "Bacterial small subunit ribosomal RNA", at positions 568 to 774 of the family's 1533-position model. The record is from RNAcentral.